AGAUAAAUAAACUGAAUUGAUUAAACUCAAUUUACAGUUAUUGAUGAACUACAGUAGAUUUGGAAAGAUAUUUCAACUUAGAAAAAAUCCCACAGAUUUCCCCUCUGCCACUCCCCACCCUUCCCCAGACUCCACUCUCAGUGCCAACGUAGCAAUUUUACUUCUAGAAUUCAUUGAUGGAGAAAAUUCUAUGCACAGAUUCAGAAAUCCGUUGCUGAGACACAAAUGCCACCACACACCCCUCCUCUCCCUGCCCACAGUCCGGUGUGAAGCACACAUCCUGGGAACUGCUGGAAUCAUUUAAGGAGCCCAUUUUAAGGAGAGAUCAAUAGAAGAUAAUAAAUUAAGUUUUCCAAAGUAUCUUGAACUACAUUGAGGAAAUAUCUGGAAACGUGUAGAAGCAGGUGAACAGUAUGUGUGAUGACAGGAUAAAUUAUUACAGGAACAGAAAGUUAUAAGAGUGAUAGAAGAAAUUGACCUGGGCUUUGCCAGCUGCUGACAAUUCUCCAGAACUACCAGGAGAACUGACUUACACACUCUUCUGGGUCUCCCAUUGCAAGGAGAUGGGCUUUCUGGAACACUGUUGAGCUGAAGGCACCUGAGUGUUGUUACAUUUGCCACAAGAACUAGGAGAACUCAAAGUCUGUAGUGUAUCAAGAAAAGAUAUAUUUGACUGAUAACCAAGAAGUUACGUAACUUACGAAAGAAAUAGAGCCAGAGGCUCACUGCAACACUGUCAUCAAGGUCUACUCAGGAGAGACCUGGUCCAGUAGACCCCUUGAAAUGAUGCAGCAGAUGAGGAGCUUCUGAGAACGACUCUGAACUUCAGGGAGUAUUUGUAUGAAAGGGUUCCAUGAUGCAUGAUUGACCAGGAAAAUAUCUUACAUAAAGCACUCUGAUAUCCAAGUGCACUACUUGCAUUCUUUUAUGAAGUAAAAACACUUUUCUGAACACUCGAAUGUAAUAUAAUUAUUCUCUUUCAUUUAUUUGAAUGGUAAAUGACAGUAUCUAAAAAUCAUAAAAUAGCAGCCCCCUUCUUUUAUGUACAUUUCUGUCUAAAUGAAAUCUGCCGUACUUCAAGGCCUAUGCUGAGUGUCAUAUUCUUGUUCUGGUUCAGUCUGUAACCCAUACUGCAUGCUUUGACGCUGAGAAUCUGAAAGCACUCAUUUUUUUUUCAAUUUCAAUUCUAUUUUAUGUACUCAAAAAUAUAUUUUCUAGAAGAAAAGAGGAAGAACAUCAAAGAUUUUUUUUAUUUGUGCUUUUCACUUGUUAUUUGAUUUUUCAUAAGUAAGCUUCAAAAGAGUUUGUUUUCCUGUUGAAAAUCUAUGAGUUUUCACCGUAAACGGUAAACAGGGGUAGAACAUACAAAGUAACCUAGCAACAAUCCGAAUUCCAUCCACAUUCCUGGCCUAUCCUCUGGUUCUACAGGAAAGAGCCAUUCAACCCAGGAACAGACAAGAAAGAGAGCUGAAACCUUUGUGACAAUGCUGGAAAAUUAGCAAUGAGUGAAGUAUUAUACAACAACACGGUUUUGCUUUUUAGAAGCUCCUGGUUUUUUAAAGUUUGGUAGACAAGGUGACAACAAAAUGACUGUGGGCUCUGGCAACAUGGAAGUCUUUGGGGACAUUGACAAGAGUUACUUCAGAGACGUGGUGGGGACAAAAGCCUGAUGGGAGCGCAUUCAAGGGAGACUGGAAGGAAGAGGAAGUCCUUUUCCUUGCUUCCUAUAUGGAGGCAGAUAAUGUUUUUUAAAACAAACACAUGCCUACUUUAUAGGACUGCUUUAAUGUCAUCUACUGAAUAAUUUUAUAUUCAUGAAGUACUUUGAGCUCCUCAGGAAAUCUUUUUAAAAAAUGAAUAAAGAAAGAACUAGCUAUUUCUUUAACUCAUUCCAAGACUGAGUGAAACUUUUCAUUGUGAUUGAGGAAUAAGCAUUAAACAAAUAAUCUCAGAUUGAGACGUGUCACGAUGAUAGCUUUAUGUCUCUCUUUCACCGAUAAAUUCCAUGGAAACUUUGUAGGACCUUCAUGUUCUCAAAAGCCAGGCCAAAAUAUACACCCAGGAUGGAAUCUUUCUAAGGUCCCCAGAGGGCAAGAGCUAUGUCUGCUUAAUCUGAAUCUAUAGUACCUAAAAUAAUGUCACUUGAUUGCAAAUAAAGAUGAUGACGACAAUGAUCACCCAGCAGCUGCUUCUCAGAAAAGGCUCAAGAAAAAUCCAUCCCACAAGCUUAAAACACAGUUGCACUGAGGCAACAUGUUACUAGCUCAUGGUAACUGCAGCCACUUUUCAGAAAGGCCCCAAAUCAUCUCAAAAGUACCGACAAGAGGAAGAGGUACUAACGUAUUCACUCCAGGCGACUUUAGGCGACACAUUAAUUCUGGAACAUGAAUAUAAAUAAAUAAUAAAUACAAUUGAAUUCAUCCCAAUCUAUCAUAGAACUUCUUUGACAACAUAAAAGUCAACAAAUAAAUCAGAAUAAUAGGAUUUUGACAAAACAAGACAUUUAUCUAUUCC
Molecule: long non-coding RNA, 2514 nt
Organism: Equus caballus (horse)
Lineage: Eukaryota; Metazoa; Chordata; Mammalia; Perissodactyla; Equidae
Source: Ensembl